Molecule: ribosomal RNA, 492 nt
Filed under: uncultured bacterium
Lineage: Bacteria
Description: partial 16S ribosomal RNA
Rfam family: Bacterial small subunit ribosomal RNA
Source: RNAcentral
AGUGAACGCUGGCGGUAGGCCUAACACAUGCAAGUCGAACGGCAGCACAGUAAGAGCUUGCUCUUACGGGUGGCGAGUGGCGGACGGGUGAGGAAUACAUCGGAAUCUACUUUUUCGUGGGGGAUAACGUAGGGAAACUUACGCUAAUACCGCAUACGACCUACGGGUGAAAGCAGGGGAUCUUCAGACCUUGCGCGAUUGAAUGAGCCGAUGUCGGAUUAGCUAGUUGGCGGGGUAAAGGCCCACCAAGGCGACGAUCCGUAGCUGGUCUGAGAGGAUGAUCAGCCACACUGGAACUGAGACACGGUCCAGACUCCUACGGGAGGCAGCAGUGGGGAAUAUUGGACAAUGGGCGCAAGCCUGAUCCAGCCAUACCGCGUAGGUGAAGAAGGCCUUCGGGUUGUAAAGCCCUUUUGUUGGGAAAGAAAAGCAGCAGGUUAAUACCCCGCUGUUCUGACGGUACCCAAAGAAUAAGCACCGGCUAACUUCGUG